CUACGGGUGGCUGCAGUGGGGAAUAUUGGACAAUGGGGGAAACCCUGAUCCAGCAAUGCCGCGUGUGUGAAGAAGGCCUGCGGGUUGUAAAGCACUUUCGGUUGGGAGGACUGCUUCUAGCACUAAUAUUGUUGGAAGUUGACGUUACCUUCAGAAGAAGCACCGGCUAACUCCGUGCCAGCAGCCGCGGUAAUACGGAGGGUGCAGGCGUUAAGCGGAAUUACUGGGCGUAAAGCGCGCGUAGGCGGCUAGAUCAGUCGGGUGUGAAAGCCCCGGGCUUAACCUGGGAACUGCAUCCGAUACUGUCUAGCUUGAGUACAGGAGAGGAGAGUGGAAUUCCAGAUGUAGCGGUGAAAUGCGUAGAUAUGUGGAGGAACACCAAUGGCGAAGGCAGCUCUCUGGCCUGAUACUGACGCUGAGGUGCGAAAGCGUGGGGAGCAAACAGGAUUAGAUACCCCGGUAGUC
This 465-nucleotide ribosomal RNA is filed under the name uncultured bacterium. RNAcentral describes it as "partial 16S ribosomal RNA". It matches the Rfam family "Bacterial small subunit ribosomal RNA", at positions 339 to 795 of the family's 1533-position model. The record is from RNAcentral.